This 72-nucleotide transfer RNA is filed under the name Ovis aries (sheep). It matches the Rfam family "tRNA". From Rfam's summary of the family: Transfer RNA (tRNA) molecules are approximately 80 nucleotides in length. Their secondary structure includes four short double-helical elements and three loops (D, anti-codon, and T loops). Further hydrogen bonds mediate the characteristic L-shaped molecular structure. tRNAs have two regions of fundamental functional importance: the anti-codon, which is responsible for specific mRNA codon recognition, and the 3' end, to which the tRNAs corresponding amino acid is attached (by aminoacyl-tRNA synthetases). tRNAs cope with the degeneracy of the genetic code in two manners: having more than one tRNA (with a specific anti-codon) for a particular amino acid; and 'wobble' base-pairing, i.e. permitting non-standard base-pairing at the 3rd anti-codon position. The record is from Rfam by way of RNAcentral. Lineage: Eukaryota; Metazoa; Chordata; Mammalia; Artiodactyla; Bovidae.
UCCCUGCUGGCUCAGAUGGGAAAGAGUCUGCCUACAAUGCGGGAGACCCGGGUUCAAUCCCCGGGUUGGGAA